AGCAGCCGCGGUAAUUCCAGCUCCAAUAGCGUAUAUUAAAGUUGUUGCAGUUAAAAAGCUCGUAGUUGAAUUUCGGGGUUAGCAAGUUGGUCGUGCCAAUGGUAUGUACUGGCUUUGCUGAUUCCUCCUUCUUGUAGAACCGUAAUGCCAUUUAGUUGGUGUUGCGGGGAAACAGGACUGUUACUUUGAAAAAAUUAGAGUGUUUAAAGCAGGCUAACGCCUGAAUACAUUAGCAUGGAAUAAUGAAAUAGGACGAGCGAUCCUAUUUUGUUGGUUUCUAGGAUUGACGUAAUGAUUAAUAGGGAUAGUUGGGGGCAUUAGUAUUCAAUUGUCAGAGGUGAAAUUCUUGGAUUUAUUGAAGACUGACUACUGCGAAGGCAUUUGCCAAGGAUGUUUUCAUUAAUCAAGAACGAAAGUUAGGGGAUUGAAGACGAUCAGAUACCGUCGUAGUCUUAACCAUAAACUAUGCCGACUAGGGAUCGGAUGAUGUUAAUUUUUAAUGAC
Molecule: ribosomal RNA, 504 nt
Filed under: uncultured Glomus
Lineage: Eukaryota; Fungi; Glomeromycota; Glomeromycetes; Glomerales; Glomeraceae
Description: SSU rRNA
Rfam family: Eukaryotic small subunit ribosomal RNA
Source: RNAcentral